UACGUAGGGGGCAAGCGUUGUCCGGAAUCAUUGGGCGUAAAGCGCGUGUAGGCGGCCCGGUAAGUCCGCUGUGAAAGUCCAGGGCUCAACCCUGGGAUGCCGGUGGAUACUGUCGGGCUCGAGUCCGGAAGAGGCGAGUGGAAUUCCUGGUGUAGCGGUGAAAUGCGCAGAUAUCAGGAGGAACACCGGUGGCGAAGGCGGGUCUCUGGGCCACUACUGACGCUGAGGAGUGAAAGCGUGGGGAGCGAACAGG
This 253-nucleotide ribosomal RNA is filed under the name uncultured bacterium. RNAcentral describes it as "partial 16S ribosomal RNA". It matches the Rfam family "Bacterial small subunit ribosomal RNA", at positions 524 to 776 of the family's 1533-position model. The record is from RNAcentral.